RNAcentral lists this ribosomal RNA (495 nucleotides) under uncultured bacterium. Its description in RNAcentral is "partial 16S ribosomal RNA". It matches the Rfam family "Bacterial small subunit ribosomal RNA", at positions 28 to 507 of the family's 1533-position model. The record is from RNAcentral.
GACGAACGCUGGCGGCGUGCCUAAUACAUGCAAGUAGAACGCUGAAGGAGGAGCUUGCUUCUCUGGAUGAGUUGCGAACGGGUGAGUAACGCGUAGGUAACCUGCCUGGUAGCGGGGGAUAACUAUUGGAAACGAUAGCUAAUACCGCAUAAUAGUAGAUGUUGCAUGACAUUUACUUAAAAGGUGCAAUUGCAUCACUACCAGAUGGACCUGCGUUGUAUUAGCUAGUUGGUGGGGUAACGGCUCACCAAGGCGACGAUACAUAGCCGACCUGAGAGGGUGAUCGGCCACACUGGGACUGAGACACGGCCCAGACUCCUACGGGAGGCAGCAGUAGGGAAUCUUAGGCAAUGGACGAAAGUCUGACCGAGCAACGCCGCGUGAGUGAAGAAGGUUUUCGGAUCGUAAAGCUCUGUUGUAAGAGAAGAACGAGUGUGAGAGUGGAAAGUUCACACUGUGACGGUAUCUUACCAGAAAGGGACGGCUAACUACGUG